RNAcentral lists this transfer-messenger RNA (266 nucleotides) under Muribaculaceae bacterium. RNAcentral's name for it is "partial transfer-messenger RNA". It matches the Rfam family "transfer-messenger RNA", at positions 82 to 374 of the family's 374-position model. Rfam says of the family: Bacterial tmRNA, also known as 10Sa RNA or SsrA, is named for its dual tRNA and mRNA-like properties. The record is from RNAcentral. Lineage: Bacteria; Pseudomonadati; Bacteroidota; Bacteroidia; Bacteroidales; Muribaculaceae.
ACAGUAGAUCACGCUUAAUCGCCGCAACAGUUGCAGCGACAAGACAUCGCCCGAUUGUCCUUUUUCCGAGACGGAUCGACCCGGCAGUGCAGGUAAAUCGGAAAUAGGUCAGGCCGGCCCCGCGGCCCGACCGAAGUAACAGGGGAUAAGGAUGAGGUUGGUUGUCUUCGGCCUGCCUCAUCACGAAAACCAAGUGAAGACUAAGCAUGUAGAAAGCUCAUUGAUUCCACGUUUGGACGAGGGUUCAAGUCCCUCCAGCUCCACUU